RNAcentral lists this long non-coding RNA (463 nucleotides) under Ananas comosus (pineapple). RNAcentral's name for it is "long non-coding RNA (ACOM_LNC026203)". Lineage: Eukaryota; Viridiplantae; Streptophyta; Magnoliopsida; Poales; Bromeliaceae. The record is from RNAcentral.
UUGAAUAUAAAAAUAUUUUAAUAUUUCAUUUUUAGUAAAGUUUUAAGUAAUUAUUUCAUUAUUUUCAUUUAUUAAUUAUUUGGUGUAUUAGAAAUAGGUAAUUGUUUUUGUUAUGUUAAAUUNGCUAGGUUUAAUCCUGUAAAAUGAGAAAGAAAAAUGAUUAGAAUUAUGAAUAUAAUCUACUUACUUAUUCAAAAUAAUAAAAGAUACUAUUAAUGAAUAUUUAAAAUAUAUCAAGUCAAAAAUACUAUCAGAUUAAACGAACAUUUUAAGUAAUUAUUUCAUUAUUUUCAUUUAUUAAUUAUUUGGUGUAUUAGAAAUAGGUAAUUGUUUUUGUUAUGUUAAAUUUUAAAAUACAUAACUUAAAAUGUUCGUUUAAUCUGAUAGUAUUUUUGACUUGAUAUAUUUUAAAUAUUCAUUAAUAGUAUCUUUUAUUAUUUUGAAUAAGUAAGUAGAUUAUAUU